This 233-nucleotide ribosomal RNA is filed under the name uncultured bacterium. RNAcentral describes it as "partial 16S ribosomal RNA". It matches the Rfam family "Bacterial small subunit ribosomal RNA", at positions 100 to 334 of the family's 1533-position model. The record is from RNAcentral.
CGGGACGGGUGAGUAAUGUCUGGGAAACUGCCUGAUGGAGGGGGAUAACUACUGGAAACGGUAGCUAAUACCGCAUAACGUCGCAAGACCAAAGAGGGGGACCUUCGGGCCUCUUGCCAUCGGAUGUGCCCAGAUGGGAUUAGCUAGUAGGUGGGGUAACGGCUCACCUAGGCGACGAUCCCUAGCUGGUCUGAGAGGAUGACCAGCCGCACUGGAACUGAGACACGGUCCAG